CCUCGCGCACUUGUAAAGAUAAACAACAUGGCGGCGCCCGUGCAGCCCCUCACGUCUGUUGGAAAAUUGCUCCUAAAGACACAUUUAUGGACGACAAACUGUCACCAGGCUUCCAGCAGGGCCCAACAGACUCUUGGCUACUCAAGCUGCUCAGCAGGUGGCGCUAAAUGUUCCUGAAACUAAAGUGACCAGUUAGAAAAUGGACUCUGGGUGGCUUCAGAGGACUCUGGGCUCACCACCUGCACAGUGUUUGUCACGACGAGCUCAUCGAUCUGGCCAAGUACCACUUUGGAAAGCUUCCGGGCAGAUAUCAGGGCGAAGCCCCGGCUCUCCCUGCCUGCCGCUUCACCGGGAGCGAGGUGAGCAGGAGGUUUUCUACGAUCGCAGCCUCGUCGCGUGAAGGCGACUGGAAAGAGUUUGAGUUGCUCUGAGCGUCUUGUCGUCGUCCAGA
RNAcentral lists this long non-coding RNA (451 nucleotides) under Salarias fasciatus (jewelled blenny). RNAcentral's name for it is "lncRNA (ENSSFAG00005000865.1)". Lineage: Eukaryota; Metazoa; Chordata; Actinopteri; Blenniiformes; Blenniidae. The record is from RNAcentral.